UUGUUGCAGUUAAAAAGCUCGUAGUUGAACUUCUAAAGUUAGGAUAGUCGCCAAUCGGUUUGACAUGUCCUUCUUUAUCCGCUUUGAUUUAGCAAUACGCACUUUGUUGGGCGAUUGUGUAAUCAAGCAAUUUACUUUGAAAAAAUUAGAGUGUUUCACGCAGGCGAUAUGCUGGAAUACAUUAGCAUGGAAUAAUAGAACACGAACUCUUAGGCAUUUUAUUGGUAUAUGACUGGAGGUAAUGAUUAACAGGGACAGUUGGGGGCAUUAGUAUUGCAUUGUCAGAGGUGAAAUUCAUUGAUUAGUGCAAGACUAACUUAUGCGAAAGCAUUUGCCAAGGAUGUUUUCAUUAAUCAAGAACGAAAGUUAGGGGAUCAAAGACGAUUAGAUACCGUCCUAGUCUUAACCAUAAACUAUACCGACUAGGGAUUAGUGAGGAGUAUUGUGCCUCAUUAGCACCUUAUGAGA
This 468-nucleotide ribosomal RNA is filed under the name uncultured marine eukaryote. RNAcentral describes it as "bacterial SSU rRNA". It matches the Rfam family "Eukaryotic small subunit ribosomal RNA", at positions 610 to 1095 of the family's 1831-position model. The record is from RNAcentral.